AGAACGAACGCUGGCGGCAUGCCUAACACAUGCAAGUCGAACGAGACCUUCGGGUCUAGUGGCGCACGGGUGCGUAACGCGUGGGAAUCUGCCCUUGGGUUCGGAAUAACAGCGAGAAAUUGCUGCUAAUACCGGAUGAUGACGUAAGUCCAAAGAUUUAUCGCCCAAGGAUGAGCCCGCGUAGGAUUAGCUUGUUGGUGAGGUAAGAGCUCACCAAGGCGACGAUCCUUAGCUGGUCUGAGAGGAUGAUCAGCCACACUGGGACUGAGACACGGCCCAGACUCCUACGGGAGGCAGCAGUGGGGAAUAUGGACAAUGGGCGAAAGCCUGAUCCAGCAAUGCCGCGUGAGUGAUGAAGGCCUUAGGGUGUAAAGCUCUUUUACCCGGAUGAUAAUGACAGUACCGGAGAAUAAGCUCCGGCUAACUCCGUGCCAACAGCCGC
Molecule: ribosomal RNA, 442 nt
Filed under: uncultured soil bacterium
Lineage: Bacteria
Description: bacterial SSU rRNA
Rfam family: Bacterial small subunit ribosomal RNA
Source: RNAcentral